GGAGGCAGCAGUGGGGAAUCUUGGACAAUGGGCGAAAGCCUGAUCCAGCGACGCCGCGUGAAGGAAGGAGUCCCUCGGGAUGUAAACUUCUGAACUAGUCGAAUAAAGRGGUAGCGGACACGCUACAAGAGAAGGUAGGCUAGGAAAAGUCCCGGCUAACUACGUGCCAGCAGCCGCGGUAAGACGUAGGGGGCGAGCGUUGCCCGGAAUYACUGGGUGUAAAGGGGACGUAGGCGGUAAACCAAGUCAUAUGUGAAAACCAUUUGCUCAACGAAAGGCUUGCGUAUGAAACUGGAGAACUUGAGUGUAGCAGAGGUAGACGGAAUUACCUGAGUAGGGGUGAAAUCCGCAGAUACAGGUAAGAAGGCCGGUGGAGAAGUCGGUCUACUGGGCUACAACUGACGCUGAGGUCCGAAAGCCAGGGGAGCGAACCGGAUUAGAUACCCGGGUAGUCCUGGCCCUAAACGAUGUU
Molecule: ribosomal RNA, 472 nt
Filed under: Thermotogales bacterium enrichment culture clone DF.52
Lineage: Bacteria; Thermotogati; Thermotogota; Thermotogae; Thermotogales
Description: bacterial SSU rRNA
Rfam family: Bacterial small subunit ribosomal RNA
Source: RNAcentral